UGCCAGCCGCCGCGGUAAUACGGAGGGAGCUAGCGUUGUUCGGAAUUACUGGGCGUAAAGCGUGCGUAGGCGGACUUUUAAGUCAGAUGUGAAAUCCCAAGGCUCAACCUUGGAGCUGCAUUUGAAACUGGGAGUCUAGAGAUCAGGAGAGGUUAGUGGAAUACCGAGUGUAGAGGUGAAAUUCGUAGAUAUUGGGAAGAACACCAGUGGCGAAGGCGGCCUGCUGGGCUUGUUCUGACGCUAAGGCGCGAAAGCGUGGGGAGCAAACAGGAUUAGAUA
Molecule: ribosomal RNA, 279 nt
Filed under: uncultured bacterium
Lineage: Bacteria
Description: partial 16S ribosomal RNA
Rfam family: Bacterial small subunit ribosomal RNA
Source: RNAcentral